GUGACAGAAAAUCACCAGCAUCUAAUGAUGCUGGAGUUGUCAUCAGCUCAGCCUUCCACCCUAGGUACCAAGCACUAAGAGAACAUCCAUGGUUCCAUGCAAAAAAAAGGAUAGAAGCUGUGCUGAAGACCAGAAAGUGAGAGUGGAAGAUUUUGGAUGAAAUGCAUGGCACACGUGUAUGAAAUGGACUUUUCUGAGGAUUGAGACAGAAUACUUUUCUGUCAUAACAAUACCAAACUAUAUGAGUGGACAUUGGACAGGUCUGUUCUCC
Molecule: long non-coding RNA, 271 nt
Organism: Microtus ochrogaster (prairie vole)
Lineage: Eukaryota; Metazoa; Chordata; Mammalia; Rodentia; Cricetidae
Exons: 3
Source: RefSeq, a predicted model, not a curated record